RNAcentral lists this long non-coding RNA (225 nucleotides) under Elaeis guineensis (African oil palm). RNAcentral's name for it is "long non-coding RNA (EGUI_LNC032837)". Lineage: Eukaryota; Viridiplantae; Streptophyta; Magnoliopsida; Arecales; Arecaceae. The record is from RNAcentral.
GCAUGAAUUUCAAAGGAAUGAAAUGCAUUAUAGGUAGUUUGAAGAUAAAUAAGAAAUUUACUACCAACUUGUAAGUGCAUUUGCUUGAAAAGAAGAUUGAUUCUUUUGGCAUGUGAUACAUGUGCCCAUUUGCAUAAAUAAUUUGCCUAUUGCUUAAUGAUUUGAAAAUUUGCUCAUUUGAUUAUGUGAUUUUGGUAUCAGAGUAGAAAAUUUAUUUUUGUUAUC